Long non-coding RNA from Harpia harpyja (harpy eagle), 6776 nucleotides. RefSeq lists it as uncharacterized. The transcript is spliced from 6 exons. Lineage: Eukaryota; Metazoa; Chordata; Aves; Accipitriformes; Accipitridae. The record is from RefSeq and is a predicted model, not a curated record.
GGGAAACUGUUGUUAUUUUUGCUCGGUUCGGGAUACCCACGCAGCCAGGAAAACAACACGGCGCAGUCCUGUUCCCCCCCCCCACCGCAGCUCGGCUGUCACUUGGCUCCUUCCCCCACGUCGCGAGAGGCACACACACACACCCCCCUCCAUGUCGCGACAGCGGCCCGCGCACCUGCCGCGCACCCCCCCCCCCCCUUCCCCUCACUUGCCGUCUCCUACCAGGGGUGCCCGGUGUGUGGAGAAGAUGGAGGGGGGGCGGCACGCCCGCCUCUCCCCCUCCCCGGGGCCGGGGGGGUGGAAAGGAGAAGGGCGCCGGCAGCCCCUGCGAAGCGGCCGGCCGGAGGGCUCGUCGCUGGCAGCCAGGAGGUUGUAGUGCAGAGAUGCUGGAAGGAGCCGUUUCUAGGGAUGUACGCUUGCCACUGCAACCAUACAAGCCGCCUGUACAAACAGCCACCCCUUGCAGAAGAGAAAAAGAAAGAUGAAGGCAUUUUUCGUCCUUUUGAGAAGAACUCGGUCCCGCUGGUCCGUCCCCCCCCGCGCCUGCCUGCGGCCGGGGGUGCGGGCAGGCCGGGCAGGCAGCGCCGCGUUCCUCAGGCUGCUGUUCUGCCUGCGGUGCUGAAGUGGGUUGCUUUUGGUUUUUGGUUUGGUUUUUUUUCCCAGCUUUCCUCCUGCCCCCAGGAUUUGGGAUGAGGGAGAUAAAGCUCACCUUCUCCACGGUCGCACCGCUGCACCUCUGCCAGGCUGGCGAUGCGCAAGGGGGUUCUCGGGGUUUUCUUCGUGGAAGGCAGCAGCACGGUUCCCGCGGGAGCUCCCCGAAUUCUGCGCCCGAACCAGUGGCAUCACGUUGGUAUUGGUGGUCCAGUGCAAGGUUCGAGGGGCUAGCUUGUGGCGGGGGGGUGGAUUUGCUGUUAAAAACUGAAGGAGGAAAAGGGUGCCGUGUUCGUUCCUGCCUUAUGGCUUCCACUGGAAAUCACAGCCCCUCGGCGGAUUAAAGCAUGACCCACAGAUGCAAUAAAUUUUAAGUUUGGAAUUUAAUUUCUUCAGUGUCCCAACGAGUUUUCUUGAAGGGAUUCAUAUAAAUGACCUUUUUACCGUCUGCGGGGUUGACGCCGAUGCCUGUCACAUGUGCUGUCAGCCACGGGAGGGGACCGGAGCCGCCAGAUCAUCCUUAAAGGAGAAAGAGGCUGGAGCUGGGAUAUAAAGUAGUCUUCUAGGAGUACUGCCAGAACCGAUCUGUUUUACUCUGCUGCUGCUGCUGCUGUUGCUGUUCUGCUGUGUCAUGGGAAGAGAGUUACCUAGCCACACCAACCCUCGGAAACGGCACCUCAGGCAGAGCCGCUUGCUGCAAACCCGAGCUGUGUUUUACAAAGCUGAAGGGAAAAAGACUUUGUGACAUUCUUGAAAACAGAGAAGAGGUUGAUUUGCCACCCAGGAUGGCAUUCAAAGAGCCGUUGCAAGGAGGUAAAAAUCACCACCAUGCCGGGAUUUAUAUCAAUACGAGAGUAGAAUAUCGCUGCUACCCACCUACUCCGCACCUGCAGGCGCCUGGGACACCACUUCGCUGCCGUGGCAGGGAUCCAGCAUGCCGGCCGGGGAUCCAGCAUGCCGGCCAGCAGCUGCAGAAGGGAGUAAGCCUCCACAGCACACUUCAUAUUUCUCUUCAACAUCCCCUUUCCUCACUCGUCAGCACGAGGCAUCAACUGGUUUGUUGGUGCAAGGGAGAUUGCAGCCUCCUUCAGCUGUCACAUCCUGAACCCCUGCCAGAUUUGUGUUGCAAGAACUGAUGCCAGUGUUUUUAACCCAGAGUGUAUUUGGCCCUUAGUGUUCUCCAUGACAUAGAAUAAACAUUAGGGAGGAGAUUCAGGCUUCAAUGAGAAAUGCUUUCCCAUGAUACGUUUUCAUUUUGGCAUGCACACUGUUUAUGAUGAAAGGAUCCUAAAAUAAUUGUAUUAGAUGAACCGUCUGUUCUUCUUGCUUUGAGGCCAGUACGGCAUGACAUUUCAGAGAUAAAAUGUUGUGGAACAGCCUCUGACUUAUAGCCCAAUGGAACUUUUCCGAAGCCAUUCUUCUUUCUUCUUUUAUUUGCUUGCGGUUUAUAACCUGAAAACGUCAAGCUUGCAUCACAGCGUUGCCAAAAGAUCGUCCUGUGCAUUAGCUAAACCUUAAAUUAUCAGCAAAUUUAAUUUUUCUUCAGAAGGCUAAUUCACAAGCAGUCAGCUCCCUAGUGGAAAAAACUCCUCCCUCCAAUUCAAAGAAAUUCCAGGAUUCACAAGAAAUACUACAUUUCCAAGAGGACACUCUGUCUGUCCUUAGGAGAACUUAUUUCUGUGUGCAAGUUCAAGUGAGUCUACGGGACCUUAAAUCAAAGGAGACCAAUGCCAGAUCCCUCGCGAUGUCCUUCAGGCUUGCAGCGUGAGCUCCGGGAUGCUGCUCCAGCACGACCGGAGGAUGGGGAAUAGCACCCGCGUUUCACCUGGCGUGCUGAAGUUCUCAGGCGGUCGGACGUGGGACCCCAGAGGACACGCAGGAUGCCAGAGCUGGUGAACCUGUUGGGCGUCUUCAGCUGAAUUUAAUAGAGAGAUGGAGAACUCAGAAGCGCAAAAUUUCUGGAAGUUUAAUGAAAGCAAGCAGGCAAAGGGGAGCAGCAAGGAAGACAGAGAUUGCAGACUGACUGCAACUCCCCUGGGAAUCCAGAUAGAAAUGAAGUCUUGUAAGACCUUCACCUGCAAGCAAGGUGAGCCUGAGCCUCCACCCUACAAGGCACCAGAGAAUCCACACACAAAAUGCAUCCUUAUCGGGGACCUUAUUUGUUGCUAUCAGAACUACCAGGUUUUUUUUAUUUAGAAGUUGUUAGUUUAAAGGAAUAGGUACCUUGUGGUGCAGCAUCAGAAGGAAAACACAGCGAGAGACGCCAUUACCAGGUGGAGCUGAGCAGAAAGCACUGCCUCCCGUUGUGACGCUGUGCGGUACUGAGCAACGGGGAAAGAAAAUAUUAAACAGAAACAGGCUGUGAUAUUGGCUCAUGGCCUGAGCACAGGCCUGGGAGUUUGGAAAUCCCAGGAUCAAAUCAUGUCCCUGAUAACAAUUCCUUUUAUUGCCUACAAGCACUUGGGUUUUUGGCUACCUUAACUAAAGAAGUGAGGAUAAUAGAGCCUGUCUCACAGGGUCGUUCCUGUCCAGCAAUAUAUAAUCACUUGAUGUGCUCAGAGGAUUAAAUGUACCCCACAGUGAAAUAAAAGGCACCAGCGAUCAUGCCUGUAGGCAUUCAAAGCUUCUCCCUACCUUUGACAGCUGCCAUGCUACGGCAGAGAUUGUUCUGCUCAGCCCCAGCCUCAGAAUCCAAAUUUAGAACAUGUCCUAUGACAGGAAUCAUUUACAUGACAAAAUCUGCCUUUCUCCAGAUUCCUCUAAUUAAGUCCUGCCUCCCUCGCAGGCGAAGCAGUUAUCAUGCUGGUGGAGCACUGCAGGAAACCCGCCGUGGGAAAAGCAGCGUGUCCAUGUGCGGGAUGCUCUCCUGAGCCCAUCAGGAUGUAUUUGGAUGCUGGACAUCUCAGGGUCAGCCCAGACAGCCAGGAAGGGGGUGAGGGCUCCUUGUCCUGCGCUGGCUGCAAUCCCACCAUCGAGCUGCAGGUGUGACUGGAGCUCAGGAACCAGACGGGAAGACUGCCCUUGGGACAACUUUUAGGGCAGAUGUGGAUGUUGUUGUAAAGCUGCAUGGUUGUGGGUGCCUGAACGAGAAUGGAUGUUGGCGAAUUUUUCAGCAUUGCCUGGGUCUCCACUGAGUAUCUAGGGUGCAAAGACCCACCAUGCUCAACAGCAGUUGCUGUCCUUCAAUGGAUGUGGUGAGCUGCUAACAUGCCUGGCAGCUCGGGAAUCAAAGCUACGUGGUCACACAAAUGAAUAUGAAUGUGUCCCUUGCUGAUGAUUUUAGGAAAUUCCACGUAUCCUUCAACUUAUUCUAGAAAAAAAACCUCCUUACGUAUUCAUCCUGGGGUCACUGAGUUACUUGCAGCAGAGUAUGGUUUCAAAGACUUCCUUCUUGAAUAGCUGCCGUCUCUCCUGCUGGGAAGGUCUGUAUGUAUAACUGGCAGAGGAGCUUCUUCCUCCCGUGGGAGGGAUGUGUGUGGAGCCUUUGUGGUACUCCCCACCUCUGCAGCUCCUGGGAGGAUCAGACCUCACUUCAGAUCUUUGACGCUGCAGAGAUCCCUCUGCUGAGGCACCCAGUGCUCUCCCAAAGCUGACUUGCUGGCUGCUCCGUGUCUACAUGGCUUGGACGGCAUGCUCUGCAUGCUGACACUGUUCGGUUACGUGACAGGGAUCAAAGGGUUCGAUGUGCUAUCGAGACUUGGAGCAGAGGGAGAGGGUGGCCACGGUCAUCAGUAAAACACAAAAGGAAGGAAGGGUGGCACUGGGAUCUCCAAGUGCUACAGCUCAUCUAGCUCCAAAAAGCCUCAGUGACAUGGGUCAGUAUUUGUUAUCCGCUGGUGGCACAUCGCCAUCCCUGCUAGGUCUGGGCGUGAUUCGAUAUUGCCCCUGUUUCUCCAGACAGGGGUACAUAAGCAGCUGGAGCAAGAAUGGCAAUGAAGCUCCAGGAACCACAAGACCGUUUGCCAGUGAUGCAGUUGGAGAUGCUCUUCCUGGGGAGCAGCUCUUCCUCCAGCCUCCACGUGCCAGGACAGAUUGUCUUUCAGAUGAGUCGCAAACUCCAUGCCCUCAAACCCAGCACCGGCUCCAGGAGUGACAUUCCCAUGCUCCUCAUGAGGACAGUGUGUUCCUCCUCGUCAUCCAUCCAGGUGGUGACCUGAGUCCUUUGCCCUCCUCCUCCCCCAUCCCUCCAUCAGCUUCGUGCUGAGAGCUGUGCACAGUGUUGCAGUGGGGAGAGGACACAUGGGACAUGAUGGCCAGCAGCAACAUCUGGGGCACGUUGGGUGGAGACAGGGACUCCAGCGUGCUUAUCCCCUUGAUAAAUGAGAUGCUGGACCCUUGGAGGCUCAAGCCACUCUACCCACUGGUGCGUGAGGGCUCACAGUGUAUUUAUCUAUUGGGAAAUGCCCUUGAACCUCCUUCCCAGGAACCUGCUAACCCCCCAGCAGAACCUUUUUAUGGUGCAAGCAGGUCUCCUCUGCCCAUCAGCCACAGCGUAGCACUUCGGGCAGCUGCCUGCCCUUCCAUCAACACAAAGCUCCUGCCAAAGGCAACCUGUUAUCCCAAAUAGGAGCACAUCGGUUUUACGCUCUCAGACUGUGCAGGCAAAGGAGUCAUUUCACUCGGCGAUUUCUGCCGGUUUCCACCAAAGUGAUCACAAUUCAGGGUCCGUUUCUGUAUUGGAUGCCAACCACACAACGCUCUUAAUCUUGGUAAUUGUAGUUUAUUAAGGUUCUUGGAAACUGGCAAAAUGGCUUUCAGAGGAAUAAAAAAAAAAAUCCCAAACUCCAAAUCAGUGAGGAAAUUCCCUCAGUGGAUCAUGGCUGAAAACAAACAUGUUUUUGUGCUUCCAGAAAAUCAGCAAGACUAACAGUGCCAUUGUUUGUGUAAGGGGGAUUUCCACAUUUCAGGGAACAGCUUGGAAGCCGUUGCAGCGGCUGCCCUCAGGAGAGCAGGAGAUGUGAACCAGCAUCGGGAAAAAUCACAGCAGGUUAAAAAUCAUGGGAUUUUAUAAAAUUAUCAUACAGAUUUGGGUUACGUUUUGUUUUGUUUUCCUUUCUGUGCCUGCUGUUGGAACCUUUAGGGAGCAUAUUUUCCUCCUUUCCUCAUAGCGUGAGGACCACAAGUAUACCAGUCUAUUUUUGCCCCUAAUAAAAGCUCCUUGUCACAGAGCUACGUGACUCCGGGCACCCUUGCGUCAAAGGCGGCAUGAAAUAUCACAAGAUUUAUAAUAAAAUUACACGAGUCGGCAACGCUGAAACCUACCAUGAGAAAUGAGUAUCUCACUCAGAUUAAAAAAACAAGCCUGCUUUUUAAAAGCUGUGCUGGGCUGUGCAUUAGGACAACGCAAUUUUGUCCUGCUGUGGACUGGAAGCAAAGGGGUUCAUCUGCAAAGUGUCUGCUCUCACCAUCCUUCCCACAGGAGCAAGGAAGGGGUCCAUGCCAGGGCAGCCCAGUUGGCUUCAGACCAGGUCCUCUUCUCCAUCCAGCUGUUGGGUUGGAGGAUGGGGCCGAUCUGCCAGCGGUGUGGGUGGGUGCUGCCUCACCACAGCUGGCUGCUUUGUGGGAGCUGAUUUCACCCAAAACGUGAUCCCACCAUGGAGAUCUUCACGGUGGGGCAGUGAUCUCCGGUGAAGAGGCGCUGGUGUCUUCUGCAUCUCAAGAGAGCAUCCAUCUCAUGCCUGGGGCUAAAGAAGGUCGAGCAGCCCAGCAAGACCUGCUGAUCCCUCUGGUCUCUUGUCAGGACUUGUGGGAUGAAUUUUUGCACUCCCAGUGUCCCCAUGCUGCCUCCACACUUGCUACCUAGGAUCGCAGUCCCUUUCCAGAUGAAGGACCCCAUGGAGACCACCUGUACGCUGUAUCACCCUGGAAGUGCCAGCAGAGAGCACCAGGCUGAUCCCAUUAAUUCUGAAAGGUCUAAAAGCAAGGAUCCUCUACAUGCUGCUGUUGGUCUGGGAGGCAGGGACCACAUCAAAUCCAGGCUUGGUCAAGGCAAACUCAAAGCUUUCUCCUAUUGCUGGCCAAUUCUUUAUUCCUUUUAAAUACCACAAGACCAAAAACCAUCCAAAGAGAGACUCAGCAUUUCUUCAGGUCCUCAGGAGCAGAGGGAACUCAGGAGAGACUUGCUG